Long non-coding RNA from Corvus hawaiiensis (hawaiian crow), 733 nucleotides. RefSeq lists it as uncharacterized. The transcript is spliced from 2 exons. The record is from RefSeq and is a predicted model, not a curated record. Lineage: Eukaryota; Metazoa; Chordata; Aves; Passeriformes; Corvidae.
CCGGAGCGCGCCGGGAAACGCGGGGGAGCCCCAAAUUCCUGCGUUUCCAACGGAGGGAACCCCAAAAUUCCUGGGUUAGGGCACAGGCAACUCAAAAAUGCACGUUUUGAGGCGCCGGCAAGGGCAAAAAUGAGUAUUUUUAAGACGCGGGUAACCCGAAAGUUGGUGGUUUAAAACACGGGGAACCCCAAAAUUCCCGGGUUUAAACACAGGUAGCCCCAAAAUUGAUGGUUUAAAACACAUGUAACCCCAAAAUUUAUAUUCUAAGACACAGGUAACCCCAAAAUUGAUGUUUUAAAACACAUGUAACCCCAAAAUUCACAGUUUUUAACACAGGGAACCCCAAAAUUCACGGUUUAAAACACAGGGAACCCCAAAAUUUAUAUUCUAAGACACAGGUAACCCCAAAAUUCAAGUUUUUAAACAGAAGGAACCCCAAAAUUCAUGUCUUUAAACACAGAGAACUCCAAAAUUCAUGGUUUAAAACACAGUGAACCCCAAAAUGCCCAGUUUUAAACACAGGUAACCCCAAAAUUCAUGGUUUAAAACACAUGUAACCCCAAAAUUGAUGUUUUAAAACACAGGGAACCCCAAAAUUCACAGUUUUAAACACAGGUAACCCCAAAUUUGAUGUUUUAAAACACAGGGAACCCCAAAAUUCCUGGUUUAAAACACAGGUAACCCCAAAAUUCACAUUUUUAAGACACAGGUAACCCCAAAAUUGAUAUUUUAA